GUUAUAAAACCACAACUGAUAGCCCCACAACCACAGAAAAUGCUGCUCCAACAAAGACACCAUCUUCAGCAAUAACAACGGAAGCUUAUACAACCACAGCUGGGAACCCCACCACCAUGCCUGUGUUCUCUGCACCUCCAGCAACAGAAAAUGCUGCUUCAACAACAACUCCAUUGUCUUUGACAACUAACGCUUCUGCUACCCAAGCUGUGAACCCAAUCAGAAACCAAAAUAACAGCAAAAGCUGCUCCAACAACACCAUUGUCAACAACAAAUGAAACUUUAACAACCAAAGCAAUAAACCCCACAACCAUGCCUGUGUUCCCAGAACCUACAACUGCACCUCCAGCAACAGAAAAUGUGGCUCUAGCAACAACAGCACGGUCUUCAACAAGGGAAGCUUCUACAACCACAGCUGUGAAUCCUACAACCAUGUCUGUAUUUCCAGAACCUACAACAAAUACUGCACCACCAACAACAGCAGUAACUUCAACAACUGACGCUUCUACAAUUACAGACCUGUACCCCACAUCCACACCUUUCUCCUCAGCAAAUACAAGUCCACCGAUAAGAACAAUAAGUGCUGCUCCAACACCCUCCUCAGUCACUAAAGCUUAUACAACCACAGAUGUGGCACCCACUUCCUUGCAUGUUUUCUCAGGACCUACAAUUGCACCUCCAGCAACAGAAAAUGGUGUCCUUACCUCAACACUUCCUUCAAUAUCUUCAACUUCUCUUGUAUCACCAAGCACAACAACCGUAUCUCCAACCACAAUACCACUUUUCACAAAAAACAUAACUGCUGCAGAAACAACAUUUGUUACACCCACAACCAUACCAAUGUUGUCAGAAUUUACAAAAUCAUUUCUAACAACCACAUCUUUGCUAAAUGCAACAACAAAUGCAGUGACUCUGACUAGUCUUUCAGAAACACAAAAUCCAGCUCCAACUGCAUUUGUAUCUCAAAGCACAAAAACUGUGUCUUUAGCAACCACUGCACCAACCAUAAUAAUUGCAACUCAAGAAACCACUAUCCCAUUGUCAAUGUCAGCUACUGGUAUUUCGGCAAUUACAAGUGUGACUCCAAUGAGUACGUCUGGAGCUACAACAAGUGUUCCUAUAAACUCAGCUGCUACAAUUGCAUCAAUUCAAACAACAGCAGUGGUGGCAAGCAAACUGCUAUUCAACUCCUCAUUUCCAGUACUCAGUGAAUCUCAGGUCCUCAGUGUUAUCACUAAUCUCCUGAAAUCCAGAGAGUCACAGCUCAGAGAAUCAUUGAAGGUUGUGAAUUUUACCUAUGAAAAAAUCUCAGAAACCUCAUAUGCUGUGGUCUUCACAUUUAACCUGGUUAACAUCAGCAUGUCAGAAGACCCUGAUCUCAGAGGCAACACCUACCAGCAAGUGAAGGAUAUCAUCAAUAAUGCGCUGAACACUCUUCUGAAUGAACCUGGCAAGGACAUUUUUGAACCCAAAUCUUCCAAUUUUACGAGCUCUUCAAACCAGAUUGAUGGCAGGAUGGACUACACCUUCCAGGAUGGAGAUGCCAUACAACCAGUCAGCUUCCUAAAUGAGCUACGUCUGCCAACCACUACAACAGUUCUUCCAGAAACAACAACUGGUUUCUCUGUGACCCUUUCAAAUCUCAUAUCUGUUACAGCAGUGGUCACAAGCAAGCUGGUGUUCAACUCCUCAUCUCCAGUCCCCAGUGAAGCUCUGGUCCUCAGCGCUAUCAACACUCUCCGUCAUUCCAGAGAGUCACAGCUGAAUGAAUCAGUGAAGGUGGUGAAUGUCACCUAUGAGAAAAUUUCGGAAUCUUCCUAUGCUGUCAUUUUUAAAUUUAAUAUGAGUGACAUUAGUAUGCCAAUGGACUCUGGACUCAGAAACAACAUCUACCUGCAAGUACAGGAUACUAUCAAUAAAGCGAUAAACACUCUUCUGAAUGAACCUAGCAGUCCAGCUUUACAACCCAACUCAUCCAACUUUAAGAGUCCAUUAAAUCAGAUUGAGGGCAGUAUGGAGUACAACUUCCAAGAUGCAGAUGUUAGAAAACCAGUCAGGUUCCUACAGGCGCUUAGUUCAUUGACAGUCUUAACAACAGCCAGUACUCUGGCAUCAAGCUCAGCUUCUCCACCAACAUUGUUGGGGAAGGUUUAUAUAAAAAUCCAAUUGGAGUUUCACACACUGGGUCCAAAACCUAGUAAGGAUUACAUUCUAAACUUGGCCAACUCUAAGCUCAACCCACGUUACAGAAAUAAAGAAGACGCAACACCAACCCAGGUUACUAGCCUUGUGGGUAUUACCUAUACAGGACUUAAUGAUACCUCAUAUGCUCUCACAUUUGAAUUUGAAAUCAGUAAUGUACUCAUGUCUGAGAAACGUGAACUAAGGAAUGAAACCAAAACUUCAAUCAAAAGCACUAUAAAUACAUUGCUUGUCGACAUCCUAAAGGAUCCCUCAGCUUCUCAGUUUGAUCUGCAAAACGUUAAAUUUGAUGAUAAUAGCACAGUGAUUCUGGCCAGUGUGCAGUAUGUUUUCUCACAAAGUGACUUGAACACAAACAGCACCUUUGUCAAGGAAAUAUUCAGUGCUAAGGAAGUCUUAACGACAGCCAGUGCUCUGACAACAAGCACAACUUCUCCGCCAACAUUGCUUGGGAAGGUGAUCAUAUACAUCCGCCUUGUUUUUAAAACACGGGGUACUAUCCCAAGUGAGAGUAACGUUGUAAAUGUGGCUAACACCCUGUUGAGUGGAAUGAAACUGAGAAUUAAACGAUCCCUCACAACAAAACUUCCGACUGAGAAUGUGAACUUUGUGAAUGUCACCUAUACAAAAAUUGAUGAUAACUCCUUCUCUCUGAACUUUGGAUUUGAAAUCAGCAAUGUGUCCAUGUCUGAAAAAGUUGAAUUCAGGAAUGAGACCUACACAGAGAUCCAGAAAUAUAUAAAUUCAUUUGUGUCCACGAUCCUGAAUAAAACAACAACUACUAACUUUAAUUUCAAUCAAAUCGUUUUCAAGGGAAACUCCACCGUGAUUGAGGCCAACGUAGAGUAUGUUUUCACAGACAGUGACAUCGGCAGCUUCGGCUUGGUCUUUACUUUGCUUGGACCUACUACAACAGCCGCUCCAACCACCUAUUACCCCACAGUCCUGACCACUGCAAUCUUAAACAAUAGUACAAACGCAGCAUGGGUUGUGGCUAUCAUUGUCCCCUGCGCUAUUGUCAUUGGGCUCGUACCUUGCUGGAUUCUUCUUUGCUGUUUGCUGUGUGGUUGCUGUGGAGCAAUCAGGAGACGUUGGCACAGAAGACGGUCAUACAAUGUACAGUACACAACUCGAAACAGCAUCUUCUAGAGAUUUUCAAGAACAGACUUUGAUGCUUAAAAUAUUAAUUUUCCUGUAUUGCUGGGCAUACAGAACCUCUCUAAAUGUGAUGCAACUGUGAUUUAAAAAACAACAACUUCUAUUUAAGGAAUGAUUUUAUUUAUUUAAAAAACUGUUAUGUAAAGUAAUGAGAAUCUUGUUUUCUAAAUGAAAGAUUAAUUUGGUAGUAUGUAUUUAAUGUUAUGGGAAAAAUAUAAAAUGUGUUGAUCACUUCUUUAUUCAAACUUAAUGUACUUUAUCUAAUAUAACAUAUUGCACUCUGAUGACAUAUUUAUGUACGAAUCCACAAUUCAUCUUUUAAGACUGUAGUUAAAAACUAUAAUUUAAUAAAACAAUUCAAUAUCAAUAUGAGAACAUUAU
Molecule: long non-coding RNA, 3741 nt
Organism: Cyprinus carpio carpio
Lineage: Eukaryota; Metazoa; Chordata; Actinopteri; Cypriniformes; Cyprinidae
Source: Ensembl